CAAGAAGACAAGGGGGAGGGCCAGAGGGUAGCCGCCCAGGCGGGGAGCUGCUCCGGCCGAAGGGGCCCCUCCAUUCUGGAAGGGGCUGGUGCUGAGACAUGUGCUGACCCCGGCCUGCAGACCCGGGGCCCGGAGGGAGCACCGUGCUGUGUGUGAGAGAGACACACAGGAGGGCAGAUACGAGAGAGUCACCAUCAUCCCCACGCUGGAUGGCCAACCUCCA
Molecule: long non-coding RNA, 223 nt
Filed under: Mustela putorius furo (domestic ferret)
Lineage: Eukaryota; Metazoa; Chordata; Mammalia; Carnivora; Mustelidae
Description: lncRNA (ENSMPUG00000024993.1)
Source: RNAcentral